AUGCUCGACGUACUCGAAAGAGCGACCGUUGGACACGUAUAUCUUCACGGCGGGCGGAUGGGUGCAUGCGCUGCUCCCGUCCCCCGCCCUCGAGUCGGGCGAGGAUGGUGGGGCGGUUCUGGCCUCGCUGUGGCGCGGCUCCCUCCCCUCCGUGCUCGACCCGUACUAACAACCAAACUCCGGCGCGAGAAGCGCCAAGGAAAUCGUACCGAUCGCGUGCCCCUUCGGCCCCGGAGACGGUGUGCUGACCGGGCGCGCGCUUGACAUAUUGUCGUGUAAACUUAACGACUCUCGGCAACGGAUAUCUCGGCUCUCGCAUCGAUGAAGAACGUAGCGAAAUGCGAUACUUGGUGUGAAUUGCAGAAUCCCGUGAACCAUCGAGUCUUUGAACGCAAGUUGCGCCCAACGCCUUCUGGCCGAGGGCACGUCUGCCUGGGUGUCACGCAUCGUCGCCCUCCCCGCCUUCGCCUCAUCUUUGGGGCGCGGAGCUGAGGGGCGGAUGCUGGUCUCCCGUGUGCCUCGGCAUGCGGCUGGCUUAAAAAUCACAGGACCACGGUGCAGAACGCCGCGUCGCAGGGUGGACGAGGUAAUCUCUAAGACCGGACGCGUGCUUCGCCGUUGCCUAUCUCAGGACCCACCGCGCUGCUGUGCAGUGCACUCCGACGCGACCCCAGGUCAGGCGGGAUCACCCGCUGAGUUUAACAUUAAAAA
This 711-nucleotide ribosomal RNA is filed under the name Polygala erioptera. RNAcentral describes it as "eukaryotic LSU rRNA". The stretch from base 287 to 442 matches the Rfam family "5.8S ribosomal RNA". Lineage: Eukaryota; Viridiplantae; Streptophyta; Magnoliopsida; Fabales; Polygalaceae. The record is from RNAcentral.